UUAAGAAAAAGACUAUUAGAAAUUUGCAUGUAUACACUAUGCUUUUCUACUUGUACUUUCCUAUCCCGUUCACAGUAAUAUCUCCAGUAUCUAGAAUAGGUGAGGGGCUGGCCUUCGACACUCCAGUAAUAUUCGUGGAGUCGAUGGUAGGUAAGUGGGUGGCUGGGUGGCUGGCUGGAAGCCGUGGAACUGAAGGCUGAUUUAAACAGCGAGGAUAAGAAAGACGGGCUGCAUUUCCCUUCCCAUCCCUUCUUACAUUAGCUAGAAUAAGUAUAAUCUGUGAAAAACUCAAGCAACAGUAGUUCAGAAGUAGAAAUAAGUUUAUUUUAUUAAUUUUGAUACAAUGCUAGAGACAGUACAUUUCAUAGGCUGCUUUGUUGCAAAAAUUAAUCAGCACCAGCUCCUGGUUUGAAUUAUACAAACCAUAGUGUUAAUGAAAAUUAUGUGCAUGUUCUUUUUGGCUGUAGUAAAAAUGAACAAAAACAGAAAUGUAAAAAAAUGUUACCUGGGGGCGCCUGGGUGGCUCAGUGUGUUAAAGCCUCUGCCUUCGGCUCAGGUCAUGAUCCUAGGGUCCUGGGAUCGAGCACCGCAUCAGGCUCUCUGCUCAGCAGAAAGCCUGCCUCUCUUCCUCUCUCUCUCUUUUUUAGAUAACAAUCAUUUGCUUUUUUUAUUUUCCCCUGAGUCAAAGCUCAAUCAUGGGGAAGAAAUAAAGGUCAUGAUAAAUAUUGCCCAACAUCCCAACUUGCCAGAAUUUUUGUUUGUAUCCUCAUUCAAUUACUUGCGUUUUAUAAAUGGAUCAAUGUUUUCAUGAUCAGGAACAUUCAAAAAUAUUAUCCUAGUAUUCCUAGUUGCUACAAAAAUCAUAAAACAUUCUCUCUUUAUACUAGCAUUUGCAAUUACACUUAAACAUCAUUGUCAUUGCAGAUAAGUAUAAUAAAAUCUACCAUGCUGAUCAGUUUCUCCAUAACAGCCCUGGUUCUGGAUUCCCAGUUUUAAAUAGUUACUAUAGCUCUGUUGUUCUAGAAGGGAGUGGCCUCUGAACUCUUUAUUUCUUGAGCUUUUACUUUCCCUCUUAGGAUAUCAUUCUUCAGGUAAACAACCCUUUGCUACAUAAUCUGGCAUCUCGCCUUUCCAAAUGGCAGAGGCCAGAGGGUCAGAGAGGACUGGAGUUGGUAUGGAGGGUGGGUUUUGCAUCUUUUGGUUAAAUACCAGAGAGUGUCGGUGUUGCUUAAGAGACCUGUAUGUUGUCAUCAGUUCCGAGCCUAGGUGGGAUCCCUGAAGCGAGGAGCCUCACGAGGCCACCAUGCUUUUAAAUUUAAGUGAGAGGUAGAAAAUGCCAAAACGUGAUCCCCAUUUCUCUUUGCAAAUAUUUCUAAUACCAAAAAUCUUGAUAAAUGUGCAGAAAUAAAACAAGCUUGUCAUGUUUUAUAUCCAGAAACUGGACUGAAUUUCUUCCGUUUAUUUUAGUUUUACCAAAUGUGUUAGUCUAAUAAAACAUGCUCCAAAGCUUUAGUCUACUUGGUAACCCCAUCUUGACUGAAAUUACUCUGAACUACUCAUAGAGCAAGUUAGCUACAUUUGGUACAACCACAUUUUUUGGUGAUUAAGAGAAGAGGAAAAUUUUGAACACAUGCUUCAGAAAUAAAUUUCUGAUUUCCUGUAAUUACAACUUGAUUUCAGAAGGGAGUUCCUGUAAGACUGCAACACACUUCACUGGUACGAAAAGGUUUCAUUCAGCUGAUAUUAUAAAUUCAUAAGGGACUUUAUGUUACCAGAUGGGGUUAGCAUGCCAUUUCUAGAAAUAGUAGAGAUGUAAGGGCUCAAAGUUAUAUCAAAAUCCAUUCUGAGAAUAUGGGUUUUCAAGGGCUCUGUUUUCAGUACUAUCUUUCUUUGUUCAUCAGCACUUUUCACUGGGACACUUCCGAGGAAGCAGUGUUUUUCUUCAAUGUGUUAAACAUCACUCGCAUAAACUCUAUUCCAAAUGUCCUUGAGAAAUGUUAGUCCUUACCGUAUACCCAAAUGAAAAGAGAAGUUCACAUUACUUCAAAUUUCUCCUGAAUCUGUGAGGCCAGGGGAAACCAUCAUGAUGAGCUCUGGGAAGGUACAAGGCCAACAUUUUUAAUGGAAAAAGAACUCUGUCUCAUGAGUAGGGAUGGGUAGACCCUGACGUGAAUGUAGUCUCUGAAUUCUUACCUGAACUAGAGCUUUGCAAAUGAGCUUCCAUCUGCAAGAGUCUCCCAUCUAAAGCCUUCCUUUUCCACCACAGAGAAUUCUCUCUCUCUCUCAUUUUUUUUUUUNNNNNNNNNNNNNNNNNNNNNNNNNNNNNNNNNNNNNNNNNNNNNNNNNNNNNNNNNNN
RNAcentral lists this long non-coding RNA (2356 nucleotides) under Mustela putorius furo (domestic ferret). RNAcentral's name for it is "lncRNA (ENSMPUG00000028837.1)". Lineage: Eukaryota; Metazoa; Chordata; Mammalia; Carnivora; Mustelidae. The record is from RNAcentral.